Molecule: ribosomal RNA, 440 nt
Filed under: uncultured bacterium
Lineage: Bacteria
Description: partial 16S ribosomal RNA
Rfam family: Bacterial small subunit ribosomal RNA
Source: RNAcentral
CCUACGGGUGGCAGCAGUGGGGAAUAUUGCACAAUGGGGGAAACCCUGAUGCAGCGACGCCGCGUGAGUGAAGAAGUAAUUCGUUUUGUAAAGCUCUAUCAGCAGGGAAGAAAAUGACGGUACCUGAGUAAGAAGCCCCGGCUAACUACGUGCCAGCAGCCGCGGUAAUACGUAGGUGGCAAGCGUUAUCCGGAUUUACUGGGUGUAAAGGGAGCGUAGACGGGAGGUCAAGUCUGGAGUGAAAGUCGGGGGCUCAACCCCCAGACUGCUUUGGAAACUGUACGGCUGGAGUGAAGGAGAGGCAAGCGGAAUUCCUAGUGUAGCGGUGAAAUGCGUAGAUAUUAGGAGGAACACCAGUGGCGAAGGCGGCUUACUGGGCUGUUACUGACGUUGAGGCUCGAAAGCGUGGGGAGCAAACAGGAUUAGAUACCCGUGUAGUC